Molecule: ribosomal RNA, 492 nt
Filed under: uncultured bacterium
Lineage: Bacteria
Description: partial 16S ribosomal RNA
Rfam family: Bacterial small subunit ribosomal RNA
Source: RNAcentral
GAUGAACGCUAGCUACAGGCUUAACACAUGCAAGUCGAGGGGAAACGGCAUCGAAAUCUUGCUUUUGAUGGGCGUCGACCGGCGCACGGGUGAGUAACGCGUAUCCAACCUGCCCAUCACUUGGGAAUAACCUUGCGAAAGUAAGACUAAUGCCCAAUGACAUCCCACGAAGGCAUCCGAAUGGUAUUAAAGAUUUAUCGGUGAUGGAUGGGGAUGCGUCUGAUUAGCUUGUUGGCGGGUUGACGGCCCACCAAGGCAACGAUCAGUAGGGGUUCUGAGAGUAAGGUCCCCCACAUUGGAACUGAGCAACGGUCCAAACUCAUACGGGAGGCAGCAGUGAGGAAUAUUGGUCAAUGGGCGAGAGCCUGAACCAGCCAAGUAGCGUGCAGGAUGACGGCCCUAUGGGUUGUAAACUGCUUUUAUAAGGGAAUAAAGUGGGUCACGUGUGACUUUUUGCAUGUACCUUAUGAAUAAGGACCGGCUAAUUACGUG